This 493-nucleotide ribosomal RNA is filed under the name uncultured bacterium. RNAcentral's name for it is "partial 16S ribosomal RNA". It matches the Rfam family "Bacterial small subunit ribosomal RNA", at positions 28 to 507 of the family's 1533-position model. The record is from RNAcentral.
GACGAACGCUGGCGGCGUGCUUAACACAUGCAAGUCGAACGGUGAAGGGACCGGUUUUUGCUGUUUCUGGAUGAGUGGCGAACGGGUGAGUAACACGUGAGUAACCUGCCCCCUUCUUCUGGAUAACCGCAUGAAAGUGUGACUAAUACUGGGUAUUCUGCGCCUGCUGCGUGGGGGGUGUGGGAUCGGUGUUGUUUCGGUGGGGGAUGGGCUCGCGGCCUAUCAGCUGGUUGGUGGGGUGAUGGCCUAUCAAGGCGGUGAGGGGUAGCCGGCCUGAGAGGGUGGGCGGUCACACGGGGACUGAGACCCGGACCGGAAUGGUACGAGGGGCAGCAGUGGGGAGUAUUGCACAAUGGGGGAAAGUCUGACGCAGCGACGCCGCGUGAGGGAGGGAGGCCGUGGGGGUGUAGACCUCUUUCGCGAGUGAAGCAGGCCUGUCCUUUUUGUGGGUGGGUUGACGGGAGCUGGAUAAGAAGCGCCGGCUAACUAAGUG